UACGAAGGGGGCUAGCGUUGCUCGGAAUUACUGGGCGUAAAGCGCACGUAGGCGGCUUUUUAAGUCGGGGGUGAAAUCCUGGAGCUCAACUCCAGAACUGCCUUUGAUACUGAAGAUCUUGAGUCCGGGAGAGGUGAGUGGAACUGCGAGUGUAGAGGUGAAAUUCGUAGAUAUUCGCAAGAACACCAGUGGCGAAGGCGGCUCACUGGCCCGGUACUGACGCUGAGGCACGAAAGCGUGGGGAGCAAACAGG
Molecule: ribosomal RNA, 253 nt
Filed under: uncultured bacterium
Lineage: Bacteria
Description: partial 16S ribosomal RNA
Rfam family: Bacterial small subunit ribosomal RNA
Source: RNAcentral